Molecule: long non-coding RNA, 803 nt
Filed under: Olea europaea subsp. europaea
Lineage: Eukaryota; Viridiplantae; Streptophyta; Magnoliopsida; Lamiales; Oleaceae
Source: RNAcentral
CUCCUGCCUCUAUUUAUACAUACAAAUGAAGCUCUUAUUAUUGAUCUAAUUACAUAAUUGCAUACAUCAGCUCUAUCAAAAGGCACUCUUGCCUUUCUUUUAUUUUCCUUCUCGGGCCUAUAUCUUUACAUGCAGCUCUAUUAUUGUCAUCAUUUCAUAUGCAACUUUAUCAAAGGUACUCUAUUAUUGUCCUCUUUUCUUUAUUUCUUCACAUGUCGCUGGGACAAUCUCUUAGCUGGUAAGAUUCUUUGAUAGUGGUAAGACAUCCUAAAAAUUGAUGUAUGUCGAAUUUUGUAAUAUAGCUCUUUAAGAUAUCUGAUUUUCCAUGUCCUCCAUUUGAAACUAGCAUUCAAUUUUGAUAUUGACAUAAACAUGAGAAUUUUUUAUCAUACAAAUUUUUAACAAUAUUGUAUACGGUUUUGAUUCCAAGUGCUCUUCUAUAUCUGAUCCAUGACUUGGUCACCUUUGGAACCUUUUUAUCAUUUUCUAUAACAUUUAUUUGGAAAUUGGCGGCAAUAUAUACAAUUGAGAUUAUGUGUUAAACUAGAUAAUAAAUAAUUUCAUCAUAUUCAGGACUUAUUGAAUAAAAUUUCAAAUAUAUUCUUCGUCCCUUGGCAAAUCUUGAUACUUCUUUUAUGAAUAUGUUAUCAAAUUUCGAAAUUUCAAUCAAUUCUUUUCCUCCUUACAUGGCUGUCAUUCUAGGAUAAACAUUAUUUCUUGGAGAGAUUAAAUAUGAAUCACUUAUUUUUAUUUCAUAAAUGAUUCUGACUAUUUUGGCAUAUUUUUCUUCUUUUGGAUCUAAA